GGCAAGACAAGCGGCGACGCCUCGGUAAUCAAGAGGUGGCACGGGGUGUGCUGACUGAGUGGGCGUAAAGGGCGGGUAGUCUGCUUUGCAAGGCGGGUGUGAAAGCCCUCAGCUAAACUGAGGAAGUGCGCCCGAAACUGCAGAGCUUGAAUACCGGAGAGGAUGGCGGAAUGCCCGAAGUAGAGGUGAAAUUCGUAGAUAGGGGGAGGAACACCGGUGGCGAAGGCGGCCAUCUGGACGGCUAUUGACGCUGAGACGCGAAAGCGUGGGGAGCAAACAGGAUUAGAUACCCCAGUAGUC
This 300-nucleotide ribosomal RNA is filed under the name uncultured Fibrobacter sp. RNAcentral describes it as "bacterial SSU rRNA". It matches the Rfam family "Bacterial small subunit ribosomal RNA", at positions 488 to 795 of the family's 1533-position model. Lineage: Bacteria; Pseudomonadati; Fibrobacterota; Fibrobacteria; Fibrobacterales; Fibrobacteraceae. The record is from RNAcentral.